Procavia capensis (Cape rock hyrax) is the source of this 114-nucleotide microRNA precursor. NCBI's taxonomy places the organism in Eukaryota, Metazoa, Chordata, Mammalia, Hyracoidea, Procaviidae. The record is from Ensembl.
CCUCCGAAGUUUCCCUCAGGAUAGCUGGCGCUCUCGCAGAACAGACCCCGAACACACGCAGUUUUAUCCGGUAAAGCGAAUGAUUAGAGGUCUUGGGGCCGAAACGAUCUCAAC